RNAcentral lists this long non-coding RNA (362 nucleotides) under Olea europaea subsp. europaea. Lineage: Eukaryota; Viridiplantae; Streptophyta; Magnoliopsida; Lamiales; Oleaceae. The record is from RNAcentral.
CCCUUUACUUCUGAACACCACACAUGUAAACUGUUUUUUUACAUGAUUUGAGCAACAAGAAAUAAAGUUGAAAAUACCAUAGAGUCCUUGCAUUUCCAAAAUCCAAGACGAGAAGAAGAAAAACUCCACAUGCUUAAAGAUGCACCUUCAGAUCACCUCACAAAAAAAGUCACGAUUUUGAAAAAUAUAAGAGAUAUUAGAUUCUGCACAAACGUAAAAUAACCCAACAUAAAACAACAACCAUGUACAAUAAACCAGUAAUAACUCACCUUUGAAAAAAGAUGAAACCCCAAAAGAUCAAAACCUUACAUCCUCAAGCCUAAUCUGGAAAAGAGAAAGAAGCAAUGCAGUGUAGUUUAUGC